This is a small nuclear RNA of Suncus etruscus (white-toothed pygmy shrew), 156 nucleotides long. RefSeq annotates it as U1 spliceosomal RNA. The transcript has a single exon. The record is from RefSeq and is a predicted model, not a curated record. Lineage: Eukaryota; Metazoa; Chordata; Mammalia; Eulipotyphla; Soricidae.
AUACUCACCUGGCAGGAGAGACACUAUGAUCAUGAAGGUGGUUUCCCCAAAGCGAGGCUCAUUCAUUGCACUCUGAGUGUGCUGGCCCCUCUGAUUUCCUCAAAUAUGGGGAACUCAACUGCAUGAUUUGUGGUAGUGGGGGACUGCAUUCGCACU